GUAGUUAGCCGUGGCUUCCUCCUUAGGUACCGUCAUUAUCGUCCCUAAAGACAGAGCUUUACAAUCCGAAGACCUUCAUCGCUCACGCGGCGUUGCUGCAUCAGGGUUUCCCCCAUUGUGCAAUAUUCCCCACUGCUGCCUCCCGUAGGAGUCUGGACCGUGUCUCAGUUCCAGUGUGGCCGAUCAGCCUCUCAGCUCGGCUACCCAUCGUUGGCUAGGUGGGCCGUUACCCCGCCUACUACCUAAUGGGACGCGAACCCCUCCUUUAGCGGAUUUCUCCUUUGACCUCUGUGUCAUGCGGCACUGUGGUCUUAUGCGGUAUUAGCACCAGUUUCCCGAUGUUAUCCCUCUCAUUGAGGCAGGUUGCUCACGCGUUACUCACCCGUCCGCCACUAACUCGGCAGGAGCAAGCUCCCGCUUCGUCCGUUCGACUUGAAUGUGUUAUGCACGCCGCCAGCGUUCAUCCUGAGCCAGGAUCAAACUCUGA
This 487-nucleotide ribosomal RNA is filed under the name uncultured bacterium. RNAcentral describes it as "partial 16S ribosomal RNA". The record is from RNAcentral.